RNAcentral lists this ribosomal RNA (300 nucleotides) under Klebsiella aerogenes. RNAcentral describes it as "bacterial LSU rRNA". It matches the Rfam family "Bacterial large subunit ribosomal RNA", at positions 2631 to 2925 of the family's 2925-position model. Lineage: Bacteria; Pseudomonadati; Pseudomonadota; Gammaproteobacteria; Enterobacterales; Enterobacteriaceae. The record is from RNAcentral.
UCGGUUCCUAUCUGCCGUGGGCGCUGGAGAAUUGAGGGGGGCUGCUCCUAGUACGAGAGGACCGGAGUGGACGCAUCACUGGUGUUCGGGUUGUCAUGCCAAUGGCAUUGCCCGGUAGCUAAAUGCGGAAGAGAUAAGUGCUGAAAGCAUCUAAGCACGAAACUUGCCCCGAGAUGAGUUCUCCCUGAGACUUUAAGUCUCCUGAAGGAACGUUAAAGACGAUGACGUUGAUAGGUCGGGUGUGUAAGCGUAGCGAUACGUUGAGCUAACCGAUACUAAUGAACCGUGAGGCUUAACCUU